AACGAACGCUGGCGGCAGGCCUAACACAUGCAAGUCGAGCGCUCUAGCAAUAGAGAGCGGCGCACGGGUGAGUAACGCGUAGGAAUCUACCUUGUAGUACGGAACAACAGUUGGAAACGACUGCUAAUACCGUAUACGCCCUUCGGGGGAAAGAAUUUCGCUAUAAGAUGAGCCUGCGUUAGAUUAGCUAGUUGGUGAGGUAAUGGCUCACCAAGGCUCCGAUCUAUAGCUGGUCUGAGAGGAUGAUCAGCCACACUGGGACUGAGACACGGCCCAGACUCCUCCGGGAGGCAGCAGUGGGGAAUAUUGGGCAAUGGGCGCAAGCCUGACCCAGCCAUGCCGCGUGAGUGAUGACGGCCUUAGGGUUGUAAAGCUCUUUUAGUGGUGAGGAUGAUGACGGUAACCACAGAAAAAGCCCCGGCUAACUUCGUGCCAGCAGCCGCCGUAA
Molecule: ribosomal RNA, 448 nt
Filed under: uncultured bacterium
Lineage: Bacteria
Description: partial 16S ribosomal RNA
Rfam family: Bacterial small subunit ribosomal RNA
Source: RNAcentral